GAUGAACGCUAGCGGGAGGCUUAAUACAUGCAAGUCGAACGGCAGCAUUUCGGAUGGCAAGUGGCGAACGGGUGAGUAACGCGUACAGAUCUGCCUUAUACUAGAGAAUAGCCCUGGGAAACUGGGAGUAAUACUCUAUGUGAUCGAGAGAUUAAAGCUACGGCGGUAUAAGAUGACUGUGCGUCUGAUUAGCUAGUUGGUGAGGUAGAGGCUCACCAAGGCGACGAUCAGUAGGGGGCGUGAGAGCGUGAUCCCCCACACGGGUACUGAGACACGGACCCGACUCCUACGGGAGGCAGCAGUAAGGAUAUGGGCAAUGGAGGCAACUCUGACCCAGCCAUCCCGCGUGCAGGAUGAAGGCGCUACGCGUUGUAAACUGCUUUUAUUGGGACAAAUUUUAGUAUUUAUACUGAACUGACGUACUAUGAAUAGCACGGCUAACUCCGUGCCAGCAGCCGCGGUAA
Molecule: ribosomal RNA, 464 nt
Filed under: uncultured bacterium
Lineage: Bacteria
Description: bacterial SSU rRNA
Rfam family: Bacterial small subunit ribosomal RNA
Source: RNAcentral